This is a microRNA precursor of Cricetulus griseus (Chinese hamster), 97 nucleotides long. Ensembl annotates it as microRNA 328. Its record names the gene Mir328. NCBI's taxonomy places the organism in Eukaryota, Metazoa, Chordata, Mammalia, Rodentia, Cricetidae. The record is from Ensembl.
CUGUCUCGGAGCCUGGAGCGGGGGGGCAGGAGGGGCUCAGGGAGAAAGUGUCUACAGCCCCUGGCCCUCUCUGCCCUUCCGUCCCCUGACUCCAAAU